Molecule: ribosomal RNA, 468 nt
Filed under: uncultured bacterium
Lineage: Bacteria
Description: partial 16S ribosomal RNA
Rfam family: Bacterial small subunit ribosomal RNA
Source: RNAcentral
GACGAACGCUGGCGGCGUGCCUAACACAUGCAAGUCGAACGGAAAGGCCCUGCUUUUGUGGGGUGCUCGAGUGGCGAACGGGUGAGUAACACGUGAGUAACCUGCCCUUGACUUUGGGAUAUCUUCAGGAAACUGGGGCUAAUACCGGAUAGGAGCUCCUGCUGCAUGGUGGGGGUUGGUAAGUUUCGGCGGUUGGGGAUGGACUCGCGGCUUAUCAGCUUGAUGGUGGGGUAGUGGCUUACCAAGGCUUUGACGGGUAGCCGGCCUGAGAGGGUGACCGGCCACAUUGGGACUGGAAUGCGGCCCAGACUCCAACGGGAGGCAGCAGUGGGGAAUAUUACACAAUGGGCGGAAGCCUGAUGCAACAACGCCGCGUGCGGGAUGACGGCCUUCGGGUUGUAAACCGCUUUCGCCUGAGACGAAGCGUGAGUGACGGUAAUGGGUGAGGAAGCACCGGCUAACUACGUG